AGACAACAAAAUGUUUAAUAUUAUUAUUUUGUCACCUUAGGUCGAUCGGUAUCUCAUGUUCUUAAUUUAUUAAGAAUUUCAUUUCCUAAGUUUUUCUAGGUCACACCCAUUAUUUUUCCUGGGCCAUUAGCUCAGGUGGUUAGAGCGCACCCCUGAUAAGGGUGAGGUCCCUGGUUCAAGUCCAGGAUGGCCCAUAUCUCUAUGUUGGGGGUAUAGCUCAGUUGGUAGAGCGCCUGCUUUGCAAGCAGGAUGUCAGCGGUUCGAGUCCGCUUACCUCCACUGAUUACCACCUCUUCCAUAAUCGGUAGAAAGGAAAAGUUUUGAGUUGUGAUCAAAUUCUGAACGAAUCUAGCUUCCUAAUGUAAGCAUUAAGAUGCUGGACUCAUUGAAUUAACUUCUUUGUUUUCAGAGAACCUUGACAACUGCAUAGAUUUUUUUUAAAGACAAUAAGCAUCUUUAAUGAUGCAGAUUUAUUAUUUGUGCGAAUGCAUUAAUAACAAUUCUAUUAAGCUGAUGCUUCAAUUUUGAAGUUAUU
This 535-nucleotide transfer RNA is filed under the name uncultured cyanobacterium. Its description in RNAcentral is "partial 16S-23S intergenic spacer". The stretch from base 207 to 279 matches the Rfam family "tRNA". Lineage: Bacteria; Bacillati; Cyanobacteriota. The record is from RNAcentral.